Non-coding RNA from Arachis ipaensis, 694 nucleotides. The record is from RefSeq and is a predicted model, not a curated record. NCBI's taxonomy places the organism in Eukaryota, Viridiplantae, Streptophyta, Magnoliopsida, Fabales, Fabaceae.
GUAUUAAGAAUACACAUACAAGCUAAGCAAGGAACAUUCUCAUUCUAGAAUAAGCAAGGAACAUUCUCAUUCUAGAAUCAUGUUAUUUAACAACAUUAAGCAUAGUUUCAAUAUUAUAUAAAAUCUAGUCUAUGGUAAAUUCGUCAUUGCAAGAUUAAAAAGAGAAGAGAAAUCUAUGGCUAGAAAUAGUAUCACAUAUGCACUAAUAAUGCUCAUAAUUGGAAUAGAUAUUUGUUACGCGAUUGUUGAACUUCAUAAUACUAUUCCUGAAUUACCUUCGACUUCGUCUUAUUAUGUUGCAAUUAAUCUUAAAUUAAUUGAUUGUAUAAAAAAGUGCAGGAGUAGAUUUCCAACUAAAUCAAAAGUGUUCCAGGAAUGCAAAAAAAAAUGUAUCGACGAGUUUACACCGAAACCUCCCAACUGAUGGUUUGGUAGAGUGUAAAUUUUAAUAGAUUCUCGAAUGAAAGGAAGACGAGUUGAGCAUCAUCAGAUUAUUUGGAACUAUUGGUGCUGCUGAUAUUGGAUAUUUCAAUACUUUUGUUUUCCAUGUUUAUUUUCUUAUUGUGUACUGUGUAAUUCAAAUAUAUAUGAGAGGGUUCAGCUAUUCCGUUGCUUUUGUCCUAAAGCAAUAGUAACUGCUUUUAUUAUAAUAAAAUGUUUUAAAAUGUUAUGAAAUGAAAUGAAUUAAACAAUA